This is a long non-coding RNA of Astatotilapia calliptera (eastern happy), 471 nucleotides long. The record is from Ensembl. NCBI's taxonomy places the organism in Eukaryota, Metazoa, Chordata, Actinopteri, Cichliformes, Cichlidae.
UGUGUGUGUGUGUGUGUAACAGCUACAGAUAGAGAGAGAGAGAGAGACCAACUUUAGGGCAGCAUCUCAUUGUUGGAAAAACAUAUAAUAUAUUUAGACUGGUUGACUGGCAUAGACCCUCUGUGUGUCUCUCUCUCUGUGCAUUUGUGUAUACAUAUUUGAUUUUAUGUGUAAUUGUUGGCUGUUCCUUCUUGUUUUUUAAUUUAUUUUUAUUUCGUUUUUUUCCACAUGUGAACAACAAUUAGUUUUGAGGGAACUUAACCAUAUUCUGUUUUUUUUUUCAUCUUGUCAUUUAACUUUUCCAAUAUUUCUACUUCAGUUAUUGCUAUUCUGCUCAAUCAUAGUAUUUGUUCUAAAUCAUUGUUAUUAUGCUAUAUUGUAGUAUUUCUGCUAAAUCAUUGUAUUUCUACUAUAUUAUAUUUUUCUUUCUAAAUAUAGCAUUUCUGCUAUAUAAUUGUAUUUCUGCCAAAU